RNAcentral lists this ribosomal RNA (289 nucleotides) under uncultured bacterium. RNAcentral describes it as "partial 16S ribosomal RNA". It matches the Rfam family "Bacterial small subunit ribosomal RNA", at positions 337 to 637 of the family's 1533-position model. The record is from RNAcentral.
ACCUACGGGGCGCAGCAGUCGAGAAUCAUUCACAAUGGGGGAAACCCUGAUGGUGCGACGCCGCGGGGGGGAAUGAAGGUCUUCGGAUUGUAAACCCCUGUCAUGUGGGAGCAAAUUAAAAAGUUAGUACCACAAGAGGAAGAGACGGCUAACUCUGUGCCAGAAGCAGCGGUAAUGCAGAGGUCUCAGGCGUUGUUCGGAAUCAGUGGGCGUAAAGCGGGCGUAGGCUGUUUCGUAAGUCGUGUGUGAACGGCGCGGGCUCAACCCGCGGACGGCACAUGACACUGCG